AGAAUUAUAAUUAAUAAUUUUAUAAAUAAUAAAAAUAAUUUUAAUAUUAAAAUUGGGGGGUUUUAGUAUUAAUAAAAAAAAAAUUAUAAAAUUUAUAGUAAAUUAGUAUUGUAGAAGAAAUUUUAAAUAAUUUUGAAAAUAAAUUUAAUAAAAAGUAAAUUUAAUUUAUUGUAUCUUGUGUAUCAGAGUUUAUUAAUAAAAAAAUUUAGAUAAAUUAGUUCUCGAAUUUAAAAGAGAUAAUUAAUUAUAAAAGUUAUUGUUGCAUAAAUAUUUUUAAUAAUUAAUUUGAAAUGAAAUGUUAAUCGUUUUUAAAGAUAUCUAGUUUUUUUAGAAAAAAAUUUAAUUUUAUUUUUUUUUUAUAAAAAAUUAAUUAAUUAAUUUUUUAUAAAAAAAAAAUUAUAUUUUAAGGGAUAAGCUUUAAAUUAAAUUUUUAUAAUUAUAAAAUAAAAUUUAAUUAAAAUUUUUAAAAUUUAUAUUGUUUAUAAUUUUUAAUUUAUUAUAAAUUAAUUUUAAUAAACUUAAAUUAAAUUAAAAUUUUUUAAUAAUUUAAUUUUUUAUAAGAAAAUAAUUUUAAAUAAAAAAAAAUUAAUUAUAAUGAUAAAAUUAGUAUUUAAAUAAGAUAAAAUAAGUAAAAUUUAAUAUUAAAAUUAAAUUAAAGGAAUUCGGCAAAUAAUAUUAUAUUCACUUGUUUAUCAAAAACAUGUCUUUUUGAAAAUAAUUUAAAGUCUAAUCUGCCCACUGAUAUAUUAUUAAAGGGCUGCAGUAUAUUGACUGUACAAAGGUAGCAUAAUCAAUAGUCUCUUAAUUGGUGACUUGUAUGAAAGAUUGAAUGAAAUAUAAACUGUCUCUAAUUUAUAAAAAGAAUUUAAUUUUUUAAUUAAAAAGUUAAAAUAAUUUUAAAAGACGAGAAGACCCUAUAGAGUUUUAUAAAAAAAUUAAUUAAAAUUUUAUUUUAAAAUAAAAGUUAAAAUUAAUAAAUUUAUUUUGUUGGGGUGAUAAAAAAAUAAAAAUAACUUUUUUUAAAAAAAUUCAUAUAUAAGUGAAUAAAUGAUCCAUAAUAUUAUGAUUAAAAGAAAAAAUUACCUUAGGGAUAACAGCGUAAUUUUUUUUUUUAGUUCGUAUAAGAAAAAAAGUUUGCGACCUCGAUGUUGGAUUAAGAUAAAAUUUAUAUGCAAAAGUAUAAAAUUUUGAUCUGUUCGAUCAUUAAAAUCUUACAUGAUCUGAGUUCAAACCGGUGUGAGCCAGGUUGGUUUCUAUCUUUAAAAAAAUAAAAUAUUUUAGUACGAAAGGAAUAAAUAUUUAAAUUAAAUUUAUAAAAAAAGAAUUUUAUUAAUUUAUGUAAUUUAUGUAAAAAAAAUAAAUAAAUAAUAUAGUUAAAA
Molecule: ribosomal RNA, 1379 nt
Filed under: Herpetogramma luctuosalis
Lineage: Eukaryota; Metazoa; Arthropoda; Insecta; Lepidoptera; Crambidae
Description: 16S ribosomal RNA
Source: RNAcentral